This 269-nucleotide long non-coding RNA is filed under the name Marmota monax (woodchuck). The record is from RNAcentral. Lineage: Eukaryota; Metazoa; Chordata; Mammalia; Rodentia; Sciuridae.
AGGAGGAAGGAUUAUCAGGAAAAAAGUUGCAGCAAAAGGCUAUUACUGAAUACUUUUCCUUACCGGAGGGUGCGUGAAUCGGCGCGAUGCGGCUGCCACAUAUGCAAAACGCUCAUGGCGCAGCAAGGUUUUUCCAAGCAGCGGCAGUGGGCUCUUCCCCGCCCCCCGCCCGGGGAGCGGGACGCCACUGCGAGAGCCCAAAUCCAAACCUGACCUGGAGGCACAGUCUCUCAGGCUCUUGCUCCCUGUGCCCAGUAACAGUUUGAAAG